This 576-nucleotide ribosomal RNA is filed under the name Trichoderma asperellum. RNAcentral describes it as "eukaryotic LSU rRNA". The stretch from base 227 to 380 matches the Rfam family "5.8S ribosomal RNA". The record is from RNAcentral. Lineage: Eukaryota; Fungi; Ascomycota; Sordariomycetes; Hypocreales; Hypocreaceae.
UCGUAACAAGGUCUCCGUUGGUGAACCAGCGGAGGGAUCAUUACCGAGUUUACAACUCCCAAACCCAAUGUGAACGUUACCAAACUGUUGCCUCGGCGGGGUCACGCCCCGGGUGCGUCGCAGCCCCGGAACCAGGCGCCCGCCGGAGGAACCAACCAAACUCUUUCUGUAGUCCCCUCGCGGACGUAUUUCUUACAGCUCUGAGCAAAAAUUCAAAAUGAAUCAAAACUUUCAACAACGGAUCUCUUGGUUCUGGCAUCGAUGAAGAACGCAGCGAAAUGCGAUAAGUAAUGUGAAUUGCAGAAUUCAGUGAAUCAUCGAAUCUUUGAACGCACAUUGCGCCCGCCAGUAUUCUGGCGGGCAUGCCUGUCCGAGCGUCAUUUCAACCCUCGAACCCCUCCGGGGGAUCGGCGUUGGGGAUCGGGACCCCUCACACGGGUGCCGGCCCCGAAAUACAGUGGCGGUCUCGCCGCAGCCUCUCCUGCGCAGUAGUUUGCACAACUCGCACCGGGAGCGCGGCGCGUCCGCGUCCGUAAAACACCCAACUUUCUGAAAUGUUGACCUCGGAUCAGGUAG